CAGCCGCCGCGGGAAUACCGAGGGUGCGAGCGUUAAUCGGAUUUACUGGGCGUAAAGCGUGCGUAGGCGGCUUCUUAAGUCGGAUGUGAAAUCCCUGAGCUUAACUUAGGAAUUGCAUUCGAUACUGGGAAGCUAGAGUAUGGGAGAGGAUGGUAGAAUUCCAGGUGUAGCGGUGAAAUGCGUAGAGAUCUGGAGGAAUACCGAUGGCGAAGGCAGCCAUCUGGCCUAAUACUGACGCUGAGGUACGAAAGCAUGGGGAGCAAACAGGAUUAGAUACCCCCGUAGUCCCUGUCUCUUAUAC
RNAcentral lists this ribosomal RNA (301 nucleotides) under uncultured bacterium. Its description in RNAcentral is "partial 16S ribosomal RNA". It matches the Rfam family "Bacterial small subunit ribosomal RNA", at positions 509 to 807 of the family's 1533-position model. The record is from RNAcentral.